This 274-nucleotide ribosomal RNA is filed under the name uncultured bacterium. RNAcentral describes it as "partial 16S ribosomal RNA". It matches the Rfam family "Bacterial small subunit ribosomal RNA", at positions 523 to 796 of the family's 1533-position model. The record is from RNAcentral.
AUACGGGGGAUGCAAGCGUUAUUCGGAAUCAUUGGGCGUAAAGGGCACGCAGGCGGUUCUGUCAGUCAGAUGUGAAAGCCCGGGGCUUAACCCCGGACGUGCAUUUGAAACAGCAGGACUUGAGUAUGGUAGAGGAAAGCGGAAUUCCUGGUGUAGAGGUGAAAUACGUAGAUAUCAGGAGGAACACCGGUGGCGAAGGCGGCUUUCUGGACCAAAACUGACGCUGAGGUGCGAAGGCGUGGGUAGCGAACAGGAUUAGAUACCCCGGUAGUCC